Molecule: non-coding RNA, 696 nt
Organism: Triticum urartu
Lineage: Eukaryota; Viridiplantae; Streptophyta; Magnoliopsida; Poales; Poaceae
Source: RefSeq, a predicted model, not a curated record
CCUUCUUCCCCACUGCCCCGCCGCCACUUGGCGUGCAGCCACCGGCCACACGACCACCUGAGCCGCCAACCACGCGUCCUUGUCUCCCACCUCGCGCAAGGCCCGCGGAACCCAGAUCGGGGCCCUGAGAGCCCAUCUACGAAGAACCGCGUCGCCGCCCGCUCCUCCCGUCGCUCGACCCCUCCACCCAAGCGCCUCCUCCUCACCUCGUCUCCCUCGCGCCGGCCGACCACCGGAGACAUCGCCGUCGGCCACCACGGUAGCGGACCAGGAGCUCGCCGCCCUGGUGAUUUGCGUCUUCUCGAUCCGGCCAAGAACGGAACCCCGGUGACCUCCCGUGCUCAGAUCUGGCCGCCCCGACGCCUUCGCUCGCGGAUCCGGCGAGCCCCAGUCGUAUCCCGCCGCCGCCGUUGACCCCUGCCUCCUGCAUCGUCGGUUGCGUACAAGGACGAAGGCACGCCCGUGUGGGCCCGCCUCGGCCUCCUCCUCGUCCAAGGCUGCUCAGGCCAGCUUUUCCUCCUCGCGCGUGGCCCAGCCGCCCCGCGCCCUGCUGCAGGCUCAACCCACCAGAUCCGCUGGCCCCAAGGCCCGCGAGCUUCGAUUUCGUUCUGGAGAUGUGAGGAUUUGUUCGACUAUGUCCGUUUGUCUUCUUCAUGGACUCGUCCUUCUUCCUUGCGGGAUCUCAGGCAAGAUGAC